GUAUGAAAAACUGCUCUCAAUUGCCGAGCCCUUCUCCUCUCGGCUAGCUGACUCUUUGAACCAUUUUCCAGCUGAUUGACUGGCGCGUGUUGGCUCACAAAAUCCUCUAGUGAAUGACUGAACUAUACCUGCAAAAUAAUGAAAAAUCUUCUCCCCGGUCUGCUGUUUCUUCUCCUCCUUUUAUGGAAAAAUAUAACCUCUAAUAAUUCAAAACAAAACUUGAUCUUAUCCCCU
This 234-nucleotide long non-coding RNA is filed under the name Gossypium raimondii (Peruvian cotton). RNAcentral describes it as "long non-coding RNA (GRAI_LNC000592)". The record is from RNAcentral. Lineage: Eukaryota; Viridiplantae; Streptophyta; Magnoliopsida; Malvales; Malvaceae.